RNAcentral lists this ribosomal RNA (465 nucleotides) under uncultured bacterium. RNAcentral's name for it is "partial 16S ribosomal RNA". It matches the Rfam family "Bacterial small subunit ribosomal RNA", at positions 28 to 507 of the family's 1533-position model. The record is from RNAcentral.
GACGAACGCUGGCGGCGUGCUUAACACAUGCAAGUCGAACGGAAAGGCCCUGCUUGCAGGGUACUCGAGUGGCGAACGGGUGAGUAACACGUGGGUGAUCUGCCCUGCACUUCGGGAUAAGCCUGGGAAACUGGGUCGAAUACCGGAUAGGAGCCAUUUUUAGUGUGAUGGUUGGAAAGUUUUUUCGGUGUAGGAUGAGCUCGCGGCCUAUCAGCUUGUUGGUGGGGUAAUGGCCUACCAAGGCGGCGACGGGUAGCCGGCCUGAGAGGGUGGACGGCCACAUUGGGACUGAGAUACGGCCCAGACUCCUACGGGAGGCAGCAGUGGGGAAUAUUGCACAAUGGGCGCAAGCCUGAUGCAGCGACGCCGCGUGGGGGAUGACGGCCUUCGGGUUGUAAACUCCUUUCGCUAGGGACGAAGCUUUUUGUGACGGUACCUAGAGAAGAAGCACCGGCUAACUACGUG